Molecule: non-coding RNA, 73 nt
Organism: Ciona savignyi (Pacific transparent sea squirt)
Lineage: Eukaryota; Metazoa; Chordata; Ascidiacea; Phlebobranchia; Cionidae
Source: Rfam
GUCUCGAUCGCGCAGUAGGCAGCGCGUGAGUCUCAUAAUCUCAAGGUCGUAAGUUCGAUCCUCACUCGGGGCA